This 5052-nucleotide long non-coding RNA is filed under the name Elaeis guineensis (African oil palm). RNAcentral describes it as "long non-coding RNA (EGUI_LNC031636)". The record is from RNAcentral. Lineage: Eukaryota; Viridiplantae; Streptophyta; Magnoliopsida; Arecales; Arecaceae.
GUGCUGCAUGGAUAGAAACUGAAACCUGAGCUCGUACUUCUUGCCCAUUGAAAAUUCAGAGAGAGAGAGAGAUGUGAGCAAAUUUCAAUUUUCUUUAGAAUGAUUAUUUUUUAAAUGGUAGUUUUUGUGCCAAAAAAAAAAUGGUAGUUUAACUAACUCCUCAACCAUUAAUAUUGCAAGCCAACAUGCAUCCUGUGUAGAUACCCCUCAACAUGACCCACCAGCUUCACAUUACAAUCAGCUCUUCGUAAAGCAUGUUGAAACAUGAUUACCAUCCGUGGAUAAUUAGUUGGCAGUACCUUCACGUUGAUCUGUUGGGAAGGCCCUCGAGAUCCCUCAAAUGCCCUACUCUCAAGCAUCCUUAGCAAGCGCUGCCCAUCAGUGUUGGCCAAGAUUUUAAUACCAUUGUCGCUUGUUGUAACUGCAAGCAACGAACCUUCCCUAUUGAAUCUUAGACGUGGACUUGCCUGCAUCAGAAGCAAGUAGACUUUUAAACUCAGUUUUCAACAUGGCACAAAUUGAAAGGAAGUUCUAUUGGAGAAAGUUCUACUAACAGGCAAACCACCAUCUGCAUCUGUAGUUGUUAGUAUACUGGUAUUAUCCAUGUCCCAGAAUUUUAUCAUAAAUUCAUCUCCAGCAGCCAGGAAUCGGUUCCUAGUUGUGUCAAACUGGACAACACCUAACGAACGUUUUCUGAAGCCAGAGUAUGUCCUUUUAAUAGCUCCUUCAGUCUCAUUCCACUCAACUAAAUGGGAAUCACCAUCUUUACUAGUUCCACAGGAAAAUAGCCUGCAAAGAAGUGUUGAUGAAAAUGUCAAUUAUCCAUAAUAAUUUAGUAGGGCAUAAUCCCAAUUCAACCAAAUUAAAAUCCAAGCACUGACAAAUGGGAUGAAGGAACACUAAUAGAUUCCACAACUAACACUCUGAACUAUGACUUGUGCAUUAGCUGAACCUCAAGUAGAAUGGUAAUGCCAUUCUAUUACUAUCAAGGAUAACAUGGUAAUCAGCAUCAACAUAUUAACGAUCAAGUUAUUCAUGGAACAGACACGUUUUCACCUUGUUCCAUCUGCACUGUAUGCCAUUGUCGUGCACCAGUGCCCAGGUGCAUCAUAGUCGACUCUAGAUCCCAAACAAUCAUACAGCCAUGCUUUGAUUUUCCCAUCAAUAGCAGUGGAGAAGAUAAACUGCACACAGAGAUAGAAUUAGAAAGAUCCCAAUAAAUGGUCAUAAUUGAAGAUAAAACAUUCCUGAUAACUUUUAAGAACUAAUCCUGAGAUGCUAUAAUCAAGGAUAAAAUAAUAAUUGAUAAACCAAUUAUAACAUGAAACAACGCAUAAAAUCAUACAAAAUUGUGAGAAAUUGAAAAAUAACAGAGAAAAAAAAAAUUUACUCCCCAGGAAGGAAGAAAAAGAACCUGGAUAGACUCCUUAUAAUGAGGGCAGACAGAAUACACAGGAGCUUCAUGCCCUUCAAACAUGUAUUGCUUCAUUCCUGUUGUAGCAUCCCAGACCUGCCAUUCGUGUAACAAGCAUUAUGAGGGUAAAACUUUGCACAAUCUUUUCAAAAAUUGAUUAGCCCCCUGCCUGAUUCUGACCUUAAUCAUCUUGUCAUCACCGCAUGUAAUUAUUGACAAACUCUUGUUGGGAUGAGAGAAGGCAAUGUCAUUAACACCGCCUAUAUGAGCGUCGAUCUACACAAAUAUGCAACAAGUGAGAAGAUAAUACAUGGCUGCUUGGCCGAAAAGUACAAUCUUCAACUCACCUCCAGUUGUUGUCUCAGCUCUCCAUUUGGAGUAAAAGCAUAUAUCUGAACAAGAUGCUUUGAAAAUGCAACACCUACAAGGAAUAACAAAGUAAACAAUUAGAAUCUAAUAAUAACGAAGAAAAUCAAAGCAUGAAACACCUCCCAAUCUUGAAGGCUUAAGAAGCAUAUAUAAAACAACAUCAUCCAACAGAAAAAUAAUUUCCUUGACUGUACCAAGAAUAGAUCCAUCAGGACUCCAUAAGCACCGAUUGACAGAUAUUGUAGCAUCUUUCAUUAAUGCUGCCUGGAAAUGGAAUGAGGUUCAGUGUAAGAUAGGCAGCAUGACUACUCAUGAAGCACAAUUGAACACGUCACUUGAUAAAAGGAACCAUUAUUCGUGCUAAGUUUGAAAGAAUACCUGUAAGGGCAAAGAACAAGCUGAGAUAUCCCAAACCUUGAAUGUCUUGUGUGCUAUCCUUUCUCGAGAUCCAACUUCCCAUAUCCCAAUAUCACCAACAUUGGUUCCGACUAUAACAAAAAUCCAACAUCAUAUAAAUAAGUCAAAUUGGAAAAAAAAAAUAGUUGCCCGUAAUUCAUAUCAUCUUUUCAUAGAUAUAAUGGUACAGAUAGCUACCUAGAAGAAUUGUUUGUUGCACUGGAUGGAAAUCCAAGCUCAUGACAUUUGAACCCUGAUUAAGGGCCCGUACCAUUGUCUUGGGAAGAUCGUCUCGAGAAUAAAUAUUAGAUGGAUGAGAAACACCAGAAAAUGACACCUAAAAACAUUUUGUUAUCAUGGUGUAACAAACUGAAGAAGUUAAGCUUCAAAGGAAGCCGAAGCUAUAUCCAAGAACGUGUGUGAAAUUUCUAAGAAAUGCUUAUAUUUUAUCUUGUUACCUCAUCUGACUGGCCAGUACGCAUUCUCUUCAUCAAGUGUUCAGAAUCUGCUGUUUGAUAAUCCAUACCAGAAGCACUUGUUGGAGUCCUUGGUUGCUUCAAAAAUGCAGCUGCAAAAGCAUAUCACAUGCUCAAACAAGCCAUAACCAAUAAAGUCAAUGAAUGCGGACAUUUAAAAGAGGCUCACCUGUGCCCGGAGGCUGCACCAGCCCUGGGGGUCCUUGCGCCACAGCAGCAUGUGGUAAAGAUGGGUUAGCAUUUGUCAUCCACCCUGCAAUGGCACUUGCAGAUGGAGAAACAACUGGUUGGAAUGGCUGCACCAGGGAGUAUGACAUUGCUCAAUGACAUGAAAUGACCAAAAAGGUUCACAUAAUUGGUUAAUCUAAUCUACUUACACUGUGAGCACCAAUUGGAGGAAAUGUCCCAGACUUAGGAAUAGGCCCUACAAGGGGACCAUUGGCAGGAGCAGGAGCUCGGGCUCCAUUGGUGGGAGCAGCACAGGAGUGAUCAGUAAAAAGUGUUUUGAUAUCAGGGUUGGGGCGUGGAUUCUUGCAAAGCUGAUGCUGCCAGUUCAAACUGAAAACAAUAGUAUAAAUAAGUCAGAUAUCUUAAGGUACGAGAUAAAAAUGUAACGGGCACAGUAAAGCACUACAUGAAGUGAAACACAGAUACUAUAAAUAAAUAAUCUUCUUUUUUUUUUUUUCUUGAGACUAGGUGAGGUCAAACUCCACCCCACACCAUGAGAGCCGAAACAAGUGCUAACACAAAUCAUGGGCCAAAGUUGGUGCCAAUGCAACUCGGAAUUCUACCCCAUCCUCUUACUCAAGGGGCAAGAUGUAAUACCAUGCAAACAAGCACUAUGUGGUUACCAUAAAUAAACAAUCAUCCCACAUUCCUGUCAGGAUCCCAGAUUUAGAUGCCGAUACCUCUUGCAGUAAGAAGUUCAAUCAACGCAAACAGGUUAAUGCACGUAAGAUUUUAAGGAAAGAACUUACAGCCAUAUGAAUCUUCCAGUUUGACUUACGAAAGUAUUCAUUCAAUUCUCUAAUUACAAUAAAUGUGGUAGUGGAUAGCUAUUUAAUCUACUUAUCCACCAGGUAAUACUAGAAAAAUUUCCGUAAAUAUAUGGAAAGGAAUAAUAGAGUGCUAAAUAAAACAAAUGCAUACCUCUGGUUGAUCAGUGUACGCAGCCUAGAAGCUUUAAAAGGUGGGAAGGUAAGCUUAUCACGAAAUAAAGGAUUAGCUUCAAUGAGCUUCUUAAGCUCCAUGAGCAUUAUAUUUCGGGCAGACUUUGUAUCCCCAUACUUAGAAAGCUGCUCGUUCUGCCUGCAUACACGAAAACAUAGAGUCAAUACACAUUAUGAAAGCAUAAAAGACAAAGACAGAAAGGUCAAAACAACCUAGAAUGAUACCUGAAAUUCUCUAAGGUGAGCAAUUGGGUGAUCUCCUUGAAAAGUUCUUCGUUGAAAGAGGCAAAUACCUUGAGGUCCUUCACAAGUAUCUCAACUGCUUUUGCCCUGUCAUGCCUGAAAGGAAACAGAACAACAGAUUCAAAGAACCUGGACAUUUAGAAUUCAGAUGAUAAGCCACAAACAAACCAAAGUCGAACCUAUCAAGUGCUUCAAGGUACUUCUGCUUCCUAAUCUCGAAGAAGAUUUUCAUGGAGUAGCGAUUGUCCUCAACCUUUGUGAAUCCGCCAAGAUACCGUUCAACUUCAUCCCAUUCCCCUGCCUGGACUUGAUCCUCAAAAUAUUUCAUAUUAAAGUAAAAGCCCGAUUCUUGCUCCAACCUAGAAUUGAACAAGACCAGUUGUGUAAGCGAGCCGAACAGUAGACGUAAGAACUUGAAAUGAAACAACCAAAGAAAAAGAAGACAACUUACUUGUGAACAGUUUCUUUGAACUUCUCCUCGUCCAAGAACUGUAGUAUCAGGAAAACUAAUUCCCUACUCAACGAUGACAUGGUUCCCGGAAUCCCUAAACGCUCCAGCGCAAGAUCUGCAAUCUAUAUCCAAAGAGGAAAAGGACAAAGAUGAAACACCCGCAAUCCUCCAAACGACAGAAACCCUUCCCCUAUCAGUUCCAAAAAAAACUCCCUUGUUACUUUCUCAAUCUCACGAAGAGUUUACCGAGACUUCUCACUCCCAACACCUUGUUAUAAAAAUCUAGCCCAAUUUCCCAGUUCUCAGAAACAAGAGAAGAGGUCAAACUCUCGGUAAUCUAUUAAGUAAAACCCUUCAAGUUAAAUCUAAAAAUCAGAUUUUUCUCCUUGAAUCUUCCCCAGGAUGUCACAACUGAGCUGAAACCGGACAAACCCUAACUCAAAAAUAAAUACCCUCAACAACCCUUGACCACACUCUCCACCUAGCUUUAAACACAUAAAUCCAAGAACAAACAGUAAUAACAAACCCCGCCCC